Molecule: long non-coding RNA, 1578 nt
Organism: Brassica napus (rape)
Lineage: Eukaryota; Viridiplantae; Streptophyta; Magnoliopsida; Brassicales; Brassicaceae
Exons: 2
Source: RefSeq, a predicted model, not a curated record
UAAAAAUAUAUUGUCAUGAUAUAAACAAGAGAUCAAAGGUUAUUGUAUCUAAAUAAAUGUGAUAAAGAAAAAUCAUAUGCCAUGAAUUCCAAAAAAUCAUCAACCACAAAUUAAAUAUUUGUAUGAAAAUUAAAAUCAGAAUAUUUGUACAAUCCAAAAAGAGAUGCUAUGAAAUAAUAUGAAAAAGAGAAUAAGCGUAGAUAUCAAACUAAUAAUCUAAACUCAGACAUAUAUUCCAAAGAUCUUAACCUCCAAAAUGAAAAUCAAUACUAUUAAAACAGAAAGCCUUUUUUUUUGUAUGACAUUUUCUUUCAAGAAUAUUUACAAGAUUGUGCCAAAGGAAUAUUUUUAAGCUAUACUUUUAUAUUUAUAGAAAUGCUACUGUCAAUUAUUAAUAAUUAUCUAAAUAUAUUAAUUACCUAUAUCAAAAAAUAAACACGUUACUUUGAGUUUAGCAAUCUGUCACAAGAGAUCAUCCCAGAUUUGGAUUUAAACUUUCAAGAGUGAUUAAUUCCAAUAUACAAUAAAGGUGAUGACGAUAAAGAUUUCGGAGUGUUUGAAGAUUGAAGUUUUGCUUGAGGUUCAAUUAGGCUUUUGUGGGAUUUUUGGUCGUGAAUCGAAGGAGGUUUCAUGAAGGUAACCCGCCGGAGCUUCCGGAGGUUGACGCGGUGAGGAGAGCAAUAGAGGGGAAUUGUUUGAGAAAGUAGAUCAAUCGAGUCAUCAACGCCGACUACACCAAAGUGAUCAACGGAAUCUCACUACCCGAGUUUAAAAUCUCAAUCCUCUGGAAUUUAGAUUCUCUGCCAUUUCCGUCUUUUCAAUUCGGUAAUAUCUCUGAAACACAUUUUGGAGUUUGCUCUGUAUUAUUGUCUAACGCAUGUUAAAGUCUCCACCUUUAUAACUGUGAUGUAUAAGAAAUGAGUGAAAGGUUGAGGAGCUUUAUUGAUGGGUUUCUUCAGGAUUGAUGGGUUUCUUCAGGUAUGGCUGGUGCUAUAUACGUCAAAGGCGUUGCAGUUACUAAGUACAAAAGGUGAAGUUUUAUGGAACUUUCUGUUAAUUCAUUGCAUCUAUGCUUAUAUAAGUUCAUAGAUGUGAAUAGAACAUUGUUUGUAUAGGUCUGCUGUAAAGUAAUCAGAGGAAUGGUCAUAAGUUCACAGUUUUUUGUUGAGGUUUGAGGAAUUUGAACACUCGAGAUGAGUUCACUAUUUGCUUCGGUCACAAAUGAAUUCUAAUUUUUUUGAUGAUGGUUUGGAGCUUUCAUUUGCUAAGAAGAGGAGAUUUGCCAUAGAUUUGGAGCUUUCAUUAAGGAGAUUUUCCAAAGUUAGAUUUUUAGUGAAGCCGGUUUCUGUGCGUCCAAUAUUAGAGAUUGGUCAUGAUGCAUUGUUGGAGCCUAUGACAGUUGUGGAUUUGCUAAAAGCUUAGCUAAAAUGUAAAUAACCAUAAAACUCUCUUACUUGAUAAGGUUAAGCUUUUUUUGUCACUUUCCUCUUACACCUUAAAGCAUAGAAAUUAUUAUGUAUUUAUAAAUUUAUUUGUAUAAUUUACAAUAAAAACUCUUAACAAUAAUAUAGAUUUUGU